Phasianus colchicus (ring-necked pheasant) is the source of this 1665-nucleotide long non-coding RNA. The record is from Ensembl. NCBI's taxonomy places the organism in Eukaryota, Metazoa, Chordata, Aves, Galliformes, Phasianidae.
GCAUCCCAUUGCAUCCUACUGCAUCCCAUUGCAUCCCACUGCAUCCCACUGCAUCCCACUGCUUCCCAUUGCGUCCCACUGCAUCCCAUUGCAUCCCACUGCAUCCCAUUACAUCCCACUGCAUCCCAUUGCAUCCCACUGCACCUCACUGCAUCCCACUGUAUCCCAUUGCAUCCCACUGAUUCCCACUGCAUCCCAUUGCAUCCCAUGCCAUCCCACUGCAUCCCAUUACAUCCCACUGCAUCCCACUGCAUCCCAUUGCACCCCAUUGCAUCCCACUGCAUCCCACUGCAUGUCUUGACAUCCCACUGCAUCCCGCUGCACCCCAUUACAUCCCACUGCAUCCCCUGAUCUCCCACUGCACCCACAGCCUCUCAGCCCCCUCUCAGGAAUGCACUGGAGCUGCAUCAGGACUGCACUGCGGUUGCACCAGGGUUGCACUGAAGUUGCACCCGGGUUGUAGCAGGGAUGCACCAAGAGCACAGCAGGGUUGCAUCAAAGAUGCACCAGGGGUGCAGCAGGGUUGCACCAAAAUUGCAUCAGGAUGCACUGGGGUUGCACCAGGAUUGCAUCAGAGAUGCACCAGGGUUGCACCAGGGAUGCAGUAAGAGUGCAUCAGAAUUGUGUCAGGGUUGCACCAUCUGAGAUGCAUCAGAAUUGUGUCAGGGAUGCAGUGAGGUUGCACCAGGGAUGCACCAGGAUUGCAUCAGGAUGCACCAAGGAUGCACCAAGAGUGCACCAGGGUUGCACCAGGGUUUCAUCAGGGAUGCACUGAGGUUGCACCAAGGAUGCACCAGGGUUGGAGCAGGGUUGCAUCAGGGAUGCAGUGAGAUUGCACCAAGGGUGCACCAGGAUUGCAUCAGAGAUGCACCAAGGUUGCACCGGGAAUGCACCAAGAGUGCACUGAAGUUGCACCAGGGUUCCAUCAAGGAUGCACUGAGGAUGCACCAAGGUUGCACCGGAGUUGCACCAGGGUUAUAUAAGGGCUGCACUGAAGUUGCACCAGGGUUGCAUCAGGAUGCACUGGGGUUGCACCAGGGGUGCACCAGGGUUUCAUCAGGGAUGCACCAAGGUUGCACCAGGGGUGCACCAGGAUUGCAUCAGAGAUGUACCAGGCUUGCACCAAGGAUGCACCAGGGAUGCACUAAGAAUGCACCAGGCUUGCAUCAGGGGUGCACCAAGAAUGCACCAGGGAUGCACCAGGAUUGCAUCGGAGAUGCACCAGGCUUGCACCAAGGAUGCACCAGGCUUGCACCAAGAAUGCACCAGGCUUGCAUCAGAGAUGCACCAGGCUUGCAUCAGAAUUGUGUCAGGGAUGCAGUGAGAUUGCACCAGGAUUGCAUCAGAGAUGCACCAAGGUUGCAUCAGAGAUGCACCAGGGUUGCAUUGGAGAUGCACCAGGCUUGCACCAAGGAUGCACCAGGGAUGCACCAAGAAUGCACCAAGCUUGCAUCAGAGAAUGCAACCUCAACCCAACCCCCCCAUUGCUCUCUCCCUGCGCCCCCUUUGCAUCCCCUCAAAACCAAGAGGGGGCAGGAGGUGGGAACACCCCGCCCCCCCCCCAAAACAAACAAACAAACAAACAAACAAACAAACCAACAAACCCACCCCCUUUUCUGCUUUGCUUUGCUUUGCAUUGCAGCAACAUCGCCGAGGCUUUGGUGA